UUCCAUUGCAAAUUGAUUGCGGUUCACAAUUGAGAAAGUUAAAGCCUUAAUCCAAGUAGUGCCACAUUUUGGUGAACUUGAGACAUAAAUCUAUCAAGUGCAUGGAAAUUUUGGAAAGAAAUCAAGCUUAUUAAAACAAUAGAUGACACCUCCUAUGAUAAAAUAAAUAUGAAACCACAGUUGUUUCUUUCAUUUGCACCAUUUCUUGGAUUAUCCUCCCAUCACCUUUACUUCAUCAUCUUGUCGUUUUGAAACAACUAAGUCUUUAGUUUCUAAAUCCAUGAUUAAACUUGCAGCAAUGAGAGAGAGUAGAAAUGAAUAUGAAAACUUCUACAUAGUUCUCUUUUUGCUUAUAUUAUUAUUUGAGGGUGGCUUCCUUGUUUUAGGAUAAGAAUAAAUUAUAGAUUUUAAAAGUCAUUUAUGUUGAAUUUAUAAAUCAUUUAUCAAAAUAAUUAUCGCUAAUAAAAUUUAAAUCUAAAUUUUAUAAAAAAAUAUUUGAAUUUUACCAACUUAAUCAAUCUGUUAGCUCUAAAGUGAUUCUUUAAUAAAUUUAUAUAAGUUGUUCAUCUAGUCCUAUUCAUUUUUAAUUACAUGUGAAUUACUUUAGAUAAUCAAAAACAUUUUUUUUAAUUUUGGGUAAUACUAUAUUCUUAUUUAUGAUUUUUAAAUUUUAAUUUAUAACCCCUUAUUUUUAUUAUAUUAAUUUUUUUCUAAGCAAAAGAAAAAUUAACGAAAUUGUAUGAUCAAUCUGAUAUCUAUUGUUUAUCAUUAGAACAGGAAAAAAAUCUCAAUAAUUACACCGUACUUCCUCUUUAAUUUGAAUUAAAAUUAUAAAUGUUUUUUUUAUUAAUAAUUUUGGUGGUUAUAGGACAACAUCACAAUAAAGAGGGACAGAUCCAGCAUUAAUAUGGAAAGAGAAAUUCUUAAAUACAUUGAGAGUGAAAUUUUUUUAAUUUUAUAUGUAAAAAUAAGAUGAUAAUAUAUAUUUUUUAUACAUUUAAAAAAUAAAAUAUUUGUUAUUAUCAUAAUUUUAUAUGUAAAAUUAAAAAAUUUUCACUGUUAAUAUAUUUGAUAAUUUUUUAUAUAUAAAAGAUUAAAUUAUGCAAUUAAUCGUUGUACUUAUAUAAAAUUUUAACUUUAAUUUUUAUAAAUUAAUUUAGAAAGAUUAAAUUCUCAUAUUAAUUUAAUUUAAUAAUAUUAAUCUAAUUAAUAAUGAUGUUACUUAAUUCCUAUUAAAUUAUCUGACGUAGUUACAGACCAUGUUGAUAUGAAUUGACUUUAAUCAAAUGGCAUUAAUUUACUGACAAGACAAGAAGAAUUAAUGAAAUUAAUUGUUAAAUUAUAUAAAUAAUCUCAAUAUUUAUACGAAAUUUAAAAUUUAAUCCUCACACAAAAUUUGAAAUUUAAUAUCUUUAAUAUAAAAAAAUAUUUUGAAUUAUUUUAGUUUUUUAAAAAUAUUAAAUUUUAAAAUAUUUUAAUCCUUUAAUAUAUUAGUUUUUAUUAUAUAUAAUUAAUUAUUAAUAAUAUCAUAUUAAUAAUAUUAUUAUCGUUUAUAUUAAUCAAUUAUAUUAUUAAUCAUUUAAAUUAAUAUAUCAAAGUUAAUAUUAUUUUAAUCAGCAUAAAUAUAUUAUGUAACAAAAUUUAUAAUGAACCAAACUAUUAAAUUGAAUAGCAUUUCUAAUAAAUUCAAAAUAGACUAUGAAUAAAAUGAUUAUUUCGUCCAACCAAGUAAAAUAAAAGAUUCAAACUUAAAUUUUUACAAAAAAUGAGCUUUAUCUAUUUGAAAAACGAACCUUAAAUCUUAACAAAAUGAAAGGAGGAAACAGUUUAUUUGAUCAAUCGAAACAUCAAUAUCAUGAAUUAUAAUGAAAACUUUUAAUAUUUUAGGUCUUCACAAAAAAAUGACUUAAAUAAUUGUGCUAAAUUAAAUAAUAAGAUUAAUUUUAAAACCAAUACAUAUUAAGUUUAAUAAAUUACUUUAAUAUAUUUAGACUCUUGAACCUAUAUUUGAUUAUAAAAAAUCAUUUAAAUAGGAGUUUAAUUUAAAGGAAUAGAAACAUUGCUUUUAUGGAUAAUUUGAUCAUUAUGGGAUAUAAUUCUAAUUCUAAAAAAAAAAAUUAAUAGUUUUACUAAAAUUAGAUAAUAACAGAUUGGUAUCAUAUAUUGAUAAAUUUGUGAUAGAUUUUUAAUAGAUUGGUUUAAGAAUUUUUUUAUACAGCCAUGAUAUAUUACAAUUGUGACAGAAAAAAAAGAUAAAAUUAGUUACAGAUUUAUAUUUUAUGACAGAAUAUAACAAGAAAUAGUGACAAAAUAGUAAUAGUAUUUUACAUAGAUGACAAAAAAAUAUGAAAAAUUUAAUGACAAUAUAUGAAAAUUUUAACUAAAUAUUGUGAUAGAUUUUUUAAUAUUAUGAUAAAAUAUUAUGAGAGAAUAUUAUAGUAAUUUUUUAAAAUUCAAUGUUUUAAAAAAUUAGAUUAUUUCUAAAAAUUUAAAAUAUUUUUUGUAUUAGAAAUUAAAUUUCAAAUUUCAUAUGAGUACAUGGACUAAAUUUUAAAUUUCAUACAAGAACAAAUUUUAAAUUUUAAAUUUCGUAUAAGUACAAAGAUUAUUUGUAUAAUUUAGCAACUAGUUUCAUUAAUCUCAAUUACUACAUUAACAAAUCAAUGUCAUGUUAUUAAAAUCAACAUUACGUCAACAUAACCAAUAGCCACGUUAACUAAUUUAACGGAAAUCAUGUAACAAUGUUAUCAAUUAAAUCAACAUUAUUAAAUUAAAUUAAUAUGAGACUCUAAUUUUUACAAAUUAUUGUUUAAAAACUAAAAUUUAAAUUUUAUAUAAAUAUAAAAACUAAUUACAUGAUUUGACUUGUGUAAAAUAAUUAGACAAAUAAAGGCUCGUUAAGAUAAAACAUAGGCAUAGGUUGCUUCUCAAGGACUUUCGAUGGCUCGAAUGUAUGUUAUACUAGUCCAUAAAAAUUUUAGGUUCAUAUAUAUAUCAAACUAGUCAAAUAAUUCUAUUUUGUUUGUUACGUGGACAUUUAAAUUUUGAGGUAAACCUAUUUUUGCAACAUGAAUCUUCAUACAAGGUUGAGAUAGUAGAAUUUAUCAAAUUAUAAUAAUGAAAUAGAUGAUUUAAAAUAUUUUUAAAAAAUAAUAAAUUUAAAAAUUAAUUUUUAAAAGUUAUAAAUGAAAAGAUAGGGUAUAUACGCUAUUUGUAAACAUCGAAUUUUGUUCGGAUCUAUUGAUGUUUUAAAUCACAUUUUUUGUUUUUGUUUCUUGAUAUUAAACUAAUAAUAAUAGAAAAAAUAUUGAUAAUAAAUUAUUAAUAUUAAUUUAAUAUUAAAAAUACAAAAAAAGAAAAAAAAAGUACCAGAAAGUAGGGGGCUGAUGCCUAGCACCAGCCACCCUACAGCCCCCUACAACCUCCCGACCAGCCUUCUACCACCAUCCUACUGCCACCUUAUAGCCUACCUUAGCCAUAUCUGUAGCCACCCAGAUCCCUAUAUACUUAAAGCCCCAGCUUCUUUCCUUUUCAAUCUCUAGGAUACAUCUUUUAUAAUAAAAAGAACCUAAGCACCCCCACCUAGAAACCCCAGCUCGACCUUGCCUCGAUCCCCAACCUCCACACAGCUACCUUUACCAAAUAUCCCACAAAACCCUUACCCACCAAAAAAUAAAACAACACAGUCCUCGUUGAUUAAGCGAUGAUCCAACAACACCAAGCUACCUGUAAAGAACAACGAAAAUAUAUCAACUUUAGUUUUUAAAAAAAAAAAAAAGAGGAAGGAGAAACGAAGAUAAAAACUUUGAGUCUCAAUCUACUCCGAUUGAGGCUGUUUCCAAUAAAAGAAAGAUCGGAUCCAGAAAAAAUGCAUCGACGAGAGUCUUUUAGUGCGUUUUGUCAUUUUUCAACCACCGACAAUGGCCAUCGAUAGUAACCCAAGUGGAGGCCAACGUGGCAGUCAGGCAUCGGAUUCUAGCUAAACCAAAGAGAAUUUCUUAAGCUGGAGGGAUUUUUUUUCUGAAAGGAGGAUGAAAUGAAUAAAAAUAAAAAUUGACUUUUAUAUAGAAAGCUAGAAGCAAAAUGAUGUCAUUUUGCUUAAGGGGAAAAUCCACGCGUGAACCCGAAUUUGACUCGAGAUCCACGUGUCUGACCCGUCUACUUGCUUUCUUUAUAACCCUAACCUGAUUUAACUAGACCGAGCCGAAUUGUCAGUAAAUCGAUUUGAACCGGUUUGAUCGUUUCUGCUUUGAACCUCUAAACUGAAUCGAACUAAUGUUAACCAGGCCGUUGACCGGUCUAGUUCAUGUAUUUUUUUUAAUUUUCUAAUUUUUUCUAUAUUAUUUUUUUGUUAUUUUGAGUUUUUUUUUAAUAUUUAUACAUGAUAAAUUUUAAAUUUUUGUUAGAAUAAUUAUUUGAUUGUACUUAAUAAUAAUAAAAUAAAAAUAAAGUAGGAUAAUGACUACAAAAAAAUAUAUUAAAAAUGGUUAUAAAAUAAUAAUAAUAUUCUAAAUAAUAAUAAUAAUAAUAAUAAUAAUAGAAUAAUAUUUUUCCUGCCUAAAUGUUAGAGGGAAGAAAAACAUAUUUUUAAAAAUAAUUCUGCUUAGAUGUUGAAAAAUUAUUAUAAAUUUUUUUUAAAAUUAAACAGUAUAAAAAGAUAAUAAAUAAUAAAAUAAUAAUAAAUUAACAAUAAUAGUAAUAAUAAAUUUUCAUUAAAAAAAUAUAUGAAAAAUCAAUUUUUUAAAAUCAUAAAAAUCGAACUUACCAAAAGUCCAUCUAGAUGUUGAAGAUUUUUAGAGAUGUUCGUGUUUUCUUCAAUUAAAAAACCUAAACCCUAAAAUCGAAAACCUAACACCAAAACCCUAAACUCUCUAAACCCCAAAACUAAAUCCUAAAUGCUCCAAACUCAAAACCCUUCAAACCCUGAAAUCAAAACGUUAAACCCUCCCAACCAUAAAACAAAUCCCGAAACUUUCUAAACCCUAAAAUUAAACCUUAAACCCUCCAAGUCCUAAAAUUAAAACCUUAAAAAUCCAAACCAUAAAACAAAUCCCUAAACCCUCUAAAUCCUAAAACUAAACCUUAAACCCUACAAGUCCUAAAAUCAAAACCCUAAAAUUGAAACCCUAAAAUCAAAACCCUAAACUCAAACCAUAAAAUUGAAGUCCUAAAAUCGAAAACCUAAGCCCCAAAAUCUAAAACUCGAAAACCUAACCCAAAAAUCCAAAAUGCCAAACCCUAAAAUCCAAAAAUCUCAACAUUCAAAUCCAAAAAUCCCAAAUUUGGUACACAACUCUGAACCAUCAUCGAAAAAUUGUUCAAACUCUAAAACCCCUAAAACCCUAAAUCUAUUCCAAAACUUUAAGGAUACGUGUGAAAAUGUCACAUGAAAUGAUUUGUUUCUGAAUGUCGCCUAGAUGAUGGAGUAUUUAGGAAACUUUGUUUCAUUAAAUUUUUCAUAUGAAUCAUUAAUUUACAUUAAUAAUGGGAUUAAUAAAUAAAAAGUAUAAUAGUAAAUUGAGGUCUUAAAUAUAAACAAUCGUAUCUAAGCCCUGCCUAGAUAUUGAAGAGUUGAAGUGGUCUUAUUAUACUGAAGAGCCCAACUUUAAAAUUGCAUUUCAUCUUACAUAACAUUCAUUGGCUUACAUACAUUAGCAUGUUAUCAUUGGCAUUCGUUUGCAUCUCAUUGUCCUUAAUUUUUACUUGCUAUCUGAUAAAACCACUAUGUACUUUUUCGCACAAAAAUGUUUUUCAAUUUACUUACUUUUAAAAUUGUGCUAUUAUAUAAAACAAAAAUAACAUUUCAAAGAAAAUAAUUCUUGAUACUCUGCCUACAUGUUAGAGAGUCACCAAUAGUUAUCUCUUGCAAUGAGUGUUAUUUUUAUUUUAAAAGAUAUUGUAUUAAAUUUUAAGUGAAAAGAGUUAUUUUAAAUUCUGCCUAGAUAUUGAAGAAUUUUAACAUAAUUCUUUAACUUAAAGAUUAUCUCGAUACUCCUAAAUAAAAAAUUUUAAUAAAAUUAAUUUUUUUUUCUUUUAAAAUAAUAAAAAUGGAUUAUUAUUAAAUUUUAAAUCAUAACUAUUUUAUCCAACACCGAAAAUAGUGCAUAAUUAAAUGGUACCAAUUUAUGAGUGUUGUAGGGGUGCUAAUCAUUUCCCAUACAUAACCGACUCCCGAACCUAACCUAGUUUUCAUAGACCAAAAUUAUCUUUUUUAUAAACUUUAAACUUAUUUUUAUAGUUUUAUUAAAAAGAUAAACUUUUGGGUGGUAAAUCAUACCAUAAAAAAAAUUGGUGGUGACUCUUACAUUUUUCUUAAUUUUCAAAUUCUUUAUGUCUAAUGGUCUCAAAACCGUUAUGAUAACUUGGUGACUCCACUAGGAAGUUUUGAGAGUCAGGCCAAAAUUUUAAUUAUGUGCUAUUAAUAGUUAUUGGAUUUAAUUGGUUUUAUUCGAUAUUUAAUUUAAUUCCCUUUAUUUUAAUUUUUCAAAAUAUAUAUACAUGCAAGUUAAUAAAUAAAAUAAAUUGUAUGUUAGUUAUUACUUUAUUUUGAUUUUAUGUUUAUGAUUUAUUUAUGUUAUUUUGAUUAAUACAUUACUUUGCACACACUUUGCACAUUCAAUUACAUGCAUGAGCUCUAGACCCAAACUCUUUUCCUUUUAGGAGGAAGUAAAGUAGUUACGCUCUCAUGAGGUGAUAACCUUUCAAUUUGCUAGUGAAACACUUUCACUUAGAUUGAACCAUUUUCGUUAGUAGCCAGUAAUGGGUGAUGAUCAAGGAGCCUUACUAACCUAUAACGGACAAUGAUGUGAGAAAUAGUCUGAGAACCUUUAGACAUAUAAAUCCUAACUCAGCAUAUCAUGAGCCAUAGAAAGCUUGCCUAGGGUAGAGCCCUCCCAACCUUUUUAUAGAAAUAACUUAAAAUUGUAUUAAAUUUUGAAAAAAUGGAUAACAAAAGAAGAGCAUUUUCUUGAAAAAAAUAAAUUUUCUAUUAACAUGUUGUUCAUUUAUUUGGUAAUUGUCCAAAUUUUACAUUUUCAUAAAAUAUUUUUGAAUAAAAUGAUUUUUUUAGCAUUAUCCAACAAGCAAAAAAAAAGUAAAAAAAAAAAGUUUUCAGAAAAAAUUAAAGAUUUUUCUUAAAUUUUUUGUUUAUUAGCCAAAUAAAAAUUAAUUUUCAUGUCCUAAUUAUUUUAUUAUUUUUUUAAAAAAAAAUUUAUAUUUUGUUUCAUCUUUUGCAUUUCAUACAUCAUAAUAAAUAAUACAUGUAUUUCAUCCUAUGUGCAUCAUAAUAAGAUAAUAUAAGCAUUCCAUCCCAUCCGUAUCAAUGGAUAAUCCAUGCAUCUCAUGUUAUGUACAUGUUGAUAAGUGAUAUAUGUCUUUCAUAUGCAUCUUAAUAGAUAAUGUGCAUACUCCAUUUCAUUACAUAUUUAAAGAUAAUGUCAGUUUCAUUAGGUUGGCCUAACACAAGCAUUACAUUCAAUGUAAAAAUAUAAUGUGCACUUGAUAGGUUCAUGCAUUUCAUACAAGUAUGUUGCAUUAGUAAUAGGAAUACAUCUCAUUACUCAUGUGAAUAUGUCAUUGCAUUUCAUGCAUAUGAAUUCAUAAAUAGUACGGUCUUAUGGAACAUAUAUUGCAUUUCAUAUCCCACUAUCCUUGUAACAUAACAUUACAUUCUUUGCACACACAUUCAUGGUCGACAAAAUCUUAUCAUUUGGGUCUUGUACAUAUAAAACUUCAUUGUCUUAAGCAUAUAUGCAUUCUAUGACAUUCAUUAGGCAUCAUCGUCACAUUCAUGAAAUGCUAUAUGUGUCGUAUAGGUUAGAAUGUUUUUGUGGCAUUUAUUCAAUAAGGGUAAUUAAAUAAAAUUUUUGGUCUAAGUCUCAGAAUAAAAUGUCUGUCUUGAUAGAAAUUAGAAUGGCAAAAAUGAGAGAUCAAUUAGAAGUAAAGAUUAGUGCUUUGGGGUUAAAUCAAAAGAAAUUAUGGCUUAAGCUUCGGGAGAUGAAACAAUAGAUUGCUCAAUUGAUAAAAAUGGUUAAAGGUAGUUGUGAAGUUGAGUUUGUUCCUCUUUAAGGAUUAUUAUCAUUUUCGAUUCCAUCAAAUCAAGAUCAACUAGCUCCUAUUAGUUUUAGUACUUUUUUCGAGCAAACUAAGGCAUUGGGUAAUUUGAACAGUGACCAAAGUUUGGGUGAACUCAAGAAAAAAAUGAGUGAACUAGCCAUACAAAUGACUGAGCUCAAAAGUUUAAUUUUCAAGAAAGAGUCAUUCGGCUUCAAACAAUCAUCACCUACUAUCUUGAGUCCAAACCCUUAGCUAAAUCCUUCUUAUGACUACUUUCAACCUCUUUUCUGAGCACUUAGGAUUAUGCCCCCAAAUUUCAUGCAACCUCCAAGAAUUUCACAUAUGAAUUCACAUUCACCAUCUUAUAUUUCAUAAUCAUUUGUUCAGUAUGCUAUCCCAUCACCACUUUCACAGUCUAAUCUUCGACCCAGAAUUUUUCAAUUCACUUCAAGACCAACUAUAACAUAAUCUUUUUCAACAAAACAAACCAACCAUAAGACAAAAAAACUUUAGCAACACCAAAGUAAAAACCUUUGUUGAUCCAAUACCCAUGUCCUACACAGAGUUAUACCCAUUACUCCUAAAAAAUUAUCUCAUUGCCUUUAUCUCUACUGAACCUCGUAAACCACCUUUCUUUGAAUGGUAUGACCAUAGUACUUGAUGUGAAUACCAUUUUGGCUUCGUGGGCCAUUCUCUGAAAAAUUAUGUAACUUUGAAACAUGGGGUGCAGGGACUGAUAAAAGCUGGAUACCUUAGUUUUGACGCCAAAACGAAGCCAGUUAUUCAUGAGAACCUUUCAUUGAUCCAUGCCAAGAUAGCAGAUAGUGUUGUAGGCAACAGUAAGAUUGGUCAAGAUGAUGAAUAAAAAGCUUUUAAAGCAAAGGGUUACCCUCUCUAGUAAUCAUAGUCAACUAUUUUUGAAUUUCUUAGGUGAAAUAAGGGGGAGUGAGAGUAGGUCUAGCACUUUUUCGCCUCAGUCCUAGAAUGGUUCAUGAUGUGUAAACUUGAUACUUUUGAGAAUGAAUGAAAACUUUUUUUAACCUAAAUUUUUUAUGAAUUGAUGUCUCUCCAAUUUUAACGAUUGUUUGUCUAAAAGAGCCUAUGAAAAAAAUGAUGGUUAUGAAUAUACUUUCACUAAACUUUUAAGGAAUAAAGAAUGUCUUUAGAUAAUCCAGCCAGAAUAAAAGAUGGAACUCAAGUUUUUCCUCUUUAAUAAUAAUAAAAUUUAACUUACACAUCAUGGAUCAUCUGUUUAAAUUCAUUGUUUUCAUGCUAGCUAAAGAUAAAAUGAUGAUUGUGAAUAUGCUUUUGUUAAACCUUCAAAGCCAAAAGAUUUUUUAUAAUAAAAUUCAUGUCAUGCAUUUUUUGUUUUUGAUAAUUAAUAAAAGGUUCAAGGAUAUCUAUCCUAGGAAACGAUAUCAGUUAAGUCUGUGCACUUAUAACACUCGAGCCUAUACCAGAAUCAUGGAAAAUGAAAAUGUAAUCGGAUGGACAAAGUAAAAAAAGCCCAAUGAGAUAUCAGUGAAAUAGUUAUGGGAAUGUAAUAGAACAUGAACAAACAGUUGGCAAAAUUAAAAUAGAUGUUAACAGAGUUGACAAAAGGAAAAGAGUUGUUGAAACAUACAAGAUAAAGAAAAAAAUAAUUGCUGAGGUAUCAUUGUAUCCAUUUGGGUUCACAUAUGUUCAAGACCCCUAUAUGCCAUAAGCACCUCCAAAAACUCAUCAACCUUUCACUAACAUUCCUACUGAGUUACCCUUAGUUCAAACAAAUGUCAACCCCGGGCAUACUCUUCACAACUUCAUUGCUGUGUCUAAUGUGGAUGAUCUUAAAAAAUUAAAAAAAUUAAAAAGGAUGCCAGAUCCAUCAAGAGAUAUGGUGAUAAAGGAUAAAUUUGAUCUAUUAAAAAAAAUUAAAGGUAAUUGAAGCCUAUGAUACAUACAAGAACAUUGAUACCAACGAGCUAAUGCUCUUUAACACAUAUCACCAUGUAUUAUCAAAAGAUGACAAGUCAUACUCAUGAUGAUAAGUUGUUAAUCCAUUACUUUCAAGAUAGUCUCACUAGGUCUACAGUAAGAUAGUACGCUCAGCUGAUCGAAGUAAGAUUUGCUCUUGGAAUGACUUAACUAGGGCCUUUCUAGCAUAAUACAAGCACAUCAAAAAUAUAACACCAGAUAGGUUGUUCUUACAGAACAUAAAAAAAAAAAGUCAACUAAAACUUUCAAAGAAUACACACUCAAAUGGAGAGACAUAGCAACCCAAGUAUAAUCACUCUUAUUAAAAAAAGAAAUCAUCGUUCUAUUUAUCAACUCUUUAAACACUCCCUAUUAUGAAAAAAUGAUUGAAAAUGUCUCCAAAAACUUUUUUGACAUGGUGACUUAUGGUGACAUUAUAGAAAGUGCAAUCAAGAAUGACAGAAUUAAGUUAAAAGAUACAAUAGAUGUUGAAGAGAGUAGUACAAUAGAAAAUAAUGAAAGAAAAGUGCAAGCAGUCACAAUUGAGGGACAUUUACCUAAUAACUUCAUCAUGUACAAUCUAUAUCCUUUUCAUCAACCUCAUCACUUUAUCACAGAUAAUAUCUCUCUCUCAUAACCCAUAUCCUUGCCAACCAAGUCAACAUUUGGGCUUUUCAAUAAAUUUUCAUCCUCAAACGACCAUUCAUGAUCUUGUUCCUACAUUUGAACCUGUCACUCAACCAAUAAAAAACUAAAAGAGACCAAGGAAUGAUCAAAAAAAUUUAUCCAUCCUUAUUUUUCACCUUUUGCCUUAACUAAUAAAAUGUCAGUAUCUCACUUCCGUGCCUCUGAAACAACACUAAAUCUAUUGCAAGGAGUUAUAAUCCCAAUGGCAAGUAUGAUUAUCAUAUGGGAUUAAUUGGCCAGUCAACUGAAAAUUACAAACAAUUGAAAAAAAAGAUUAAAGAUCUUAUCAAGAGUGAUAUUUUGACUUCAGAGGUGAUAGAAUAAUAAAAGUUGAUGACUCCAUCCAAUUACCAAAUGUGAGGAGUUGAGAUGAAGAAGAAAGUCUCAUUUCUAAAAAAUCAAGAUAGGAUGAUUUUCUUUUAAAUCUUUUCACUGUUUAUGUAUGACAUGUGCAUGGUGUAUUUAGGGGUUAUCCAACUUAUUUUAGAAGAAUCGAAUACUUUGGAUCUUUUUUAUGAAAUUUUCUCUUUAUGCAUUUGUUUGAAUAAAAGUCCCACAUAAGUAACUUUCAAAAACAAAAACAAAAAAAAAAGAAAAAAAGAGGAAAAAAAAUGGGUUUUCUUUUGUAAUAAAGAUGGAAGGAUUCUUGAAAGAAAUGGUGAUUACUAUUAGGAAAAAGUUUAUCAAAUACCUCAACACCUUUUCAAAUACUUUCAUGUCCCUAAUCAUUUAAAUGAUUGGACUCAUCAACCAUGACCCUUUAGGGAAUGUGAGUUUGAAUUCAUACUUUAAAGGGCUGAUAAUCUUUUUUCGGGCAAAAAAUAAAAAACGUUAAUUUUGAAAGUUUGUUUUGAAUUUCAAAAAUAAGAUACAUUUUCAAAUUUUUAAUUGAAACACAGUUCAUUAUGCUUGCUUUGAAUUGAUGUAUCAGUCAAUAUUAUAUGUUAAACUAUAUGAAAUUGUUUGUAAACCAAAAAGACUUCAGCAUUUGGAUUUCGAAUUUGAUACAUUUCAUCUAAAACUUUGUAACCCUAUUCUAUGUCAAGUAACUUUUCACCUAGCAAUCAAAGUUGCUCAAAAGUUGUAAUUACAACCCAAAUUUUGACCUCAAUACUUUAUUUAUCAAAGAAUCCCAAAUAAAAAAUUUAUUUUUCCUAAUUUGAAAAAGAAAAUUAAAUUUAAAUCAAUUAAGCCUAAACUAUGUGAAUGAUCAUAUGACAAAAGAAUACCAUAAAAAUGCUAGUUAAUUGCGAGACAUGUACAAAAGAAGCUUAAAAUUUAUUACAAAGAAAAGCAUUUAAAACUGCAUCGAAAGUUGAAAGUCAAGUGAUAAUAUUUAUAUUAUAGGUAUCUUUAUGAUAGAGUAAGUAAAAAUUAUUUUUGUUGUAAAGAUAACUGAACUUUCUCAAUUCAAAAUUACAAUGAAAUCAAAACCAAACUUUUUCAAUUGAAAAGGACAAUAAUUUUUUCAAUACUUUACUAUUCACUCAGAUAUCAACAAGGAAUGUAUAAACAAAUUAAUAUUUGUUACAAAAAAAAGUUUAACAAAAAUGCAUGAAAGGUUGAAAGUCAAUUAAUAGUAUUCAUAUUUUAUGUACCUUCAUGAUAUGCAUAUCAUAACUACUUAGAUGCAACUUCAAACACAAAAAUAAAUUAACUUCUUUGAUAACAAUGAAAACAUACACAUAAGGCUAAGUUUCAAAUGUCAAGCAAUCAUGGCAACAAUUUCAUAGCCAAAAUAAAUAUUAUAGCUUACACAAUUUUUUAUUUUCAAUUAAUUAACCACUAAAGGCAAAAUAAACUUAUCAUCAAAAAAUAUUUACCAUGAAAUCUUCAAAAUGAUUCAGAGAAAUCAAUAAUAACUCUAGCACUUUCACUAUCCAAAUAAAGUAAAGUACUAGAAUUACUCAAAUUAAUAUUAAAAGAUAAAAGCAAAGUUGAAUCACUAUCACCUAAUUGUCUAUUAAGAGGAACUAAACUACUUUCACCUACGUCUACUUUAUAGUUGCUAGAACCAAUAAAAUCAUCAUAACUAUGUGGCCGAUUAAUAAGUGAAGUGAACUGAACCCUAUAAAGGCAUUCUUGGAUUUUUGUAGCUCAUGAAUAUUCAUCACUUGUAUUGCGCUAUGUUUUCUAGCUUAAAAAAAAAACACAAAAUGCAUAAACAUCAACAUUUAGUAUGAACCUGAAGUGAGGGACUCAAGAUUAAAUAAAUUAUGGAAGAAAAGAAGAAAACAAACCAUUUUCAGCUUUUUUGUAACUUUCUUGAAGCCCUUUCAUUAUGUGAUCCCUUUCAAUUACAACAUUGAUAAUUGGUUAAUUAUGAAGCGCAUAAAAAAUAGCCUGAAAGAAUAUGAGACAUUUUAAAUAAGGAUUCAAUAGCAUAUAAAGACGUAAAUGCACAUUUGUAUCUUUUAGUGAAUGAUAACUUUACAAAUCAUGAGAUAAGUCCUAACUUUACUUCAUGUUUCUCAACAAAAAUAACUUUAUUGUCAGAUUGAAGCAUCAUCAAAUUGUCCUAAAAUUAUACCUCAAAAUAGGGAGGCAAAUAAGCAAAUAAGUUAUUACUAACUUAAAAUAACAUGAGAAAAUUGUAAAUGCUGAGUGGCAUAAAAAAAGUGUAUCCAUUUCAAACAUGAUCAAAGCAUAUAAGUUUCAAACAACAUAAAUUCUAUGCCUUUUAGAAUCAUAAGGACUAGAAGAAUAAAAAGUUAGGCAAAGAGAAGAGCAGUAAUUAACAUUCCACAAUAUUAUCAUAAGAAAAUGUGGUAGUUAUAUGUCAACUUCAUUGAAUGUAGUCAACAUUGUAAAAGUAUUUUAGAAGUUAUUUAAGCGUGUUGCAACACGUUUUCCAAGUAUAAUCAUAGAACCUGAAAUCACAGAAACUGUAAGAUGUUAAAGUAGUAGCAAUUUUUCCCUUUGAUAAUGUACAAUAAACAACAAAAACCAAAAGGUUAGUAAAUAUUCAAUGUUUGUCAUAAGAAAUAUUAUGAGUAGAAAAAUAAAAUUCCUAUAGUACUUACUCUUCUCUCUUUUUCUUUAGAAAGAAGUUAAGGUUCCUUAGUUGAAGGUUUGGAAAAAGACAAAAAAGGUGCAAGGAAUAAUUGUUAAAUAUUAAUUAAUAGAAGAGACAAAUAGAUCAAUAUUUUGAUAGUCAACCAUAAUCUAUUGAUAAACUAAUUAAUUAGUAAAAGCAAUCAUUUAAGAGCAUAAGAAAAAUGAAUAAUUUUAGUAACUUUACAUUCAUUCUAUCAACAAUGACCCUUGAAUGACCUACAUCGCACGCAACACUUUAUAAAGAUAUACAAAAAAAAUUUGGCUUUCAAAUACUGUGAUUUGGUCUUUAACCAUUUAUAAUUCUUUCAUAAACUUAUGUCACUGAUCCUUUAUCUUUUGUACUUCUUGCUUUUCUUUUUUAAAAAAUUCUUCCAUUUCUUUAAUUCUUUCUUUAACUUAUUUAAAUUAGCUUUAUAUUCCCUUAAUUUAGUAAGAAGUGUUACCUUUACCUUUGUCAGUGUAAAACCAAUGAGAGAUGAAAGUAUCCCUCAGAUUUUUACAAAUGUAGACAAUCUUAGAGCUAGAAUCUUUAAUGGAAGGUGGUAAAGAAGCAUAGGGGAUGUGGGUGAAGAAAAUUCUUGGUUGGUAUGGAUAGUUUUUUUCGAGAUCUGGAUAAGGGUUAUUGAUGUAAAGAUCAAACUCAAAGAAAGGAACAAGUUGGUGAGGGCAUACAUUGAGUAAAGGAGUUUCUUCCAUUGCAAAUUGAUUGUGAUUCACAACUGAAAAGUUAAAGCCUUAAGCCAAGUAGUGCCACAUUUUGGUGAACUUGUGACAAUAAUAUCACUAUCAAGUGCUUGGAAAUGUUUUUGGAAAGAAAUCAUAGCUUUUAAAACAAUAGAUGGACACCAAAAUCCUUGAUAGAAAUAAAUAUGAGAUCCCCACCAGUUGUUUUCUUUAGCGAGGGUUUGCACUAUUUCUUGGAAUUCAUCCUCCCAUGGCACCUUACCUUCAUCAUCUUGUGGUUUAGAAACAAUACUAACGUCUUUAGGGAUUUCUGUGGUAUCCAUGAUGAAACUUGCAGCAAUUGAGAGGAGGAGUAGAAAUGAAUAUGAAAACUCUACAUUAGUUCUUUUUUGCUAUAAUUAUUUAUA
This 14843-nucleotide long non-coding RNA is filed under the name Durio zibethinus. RNAcentral describes it as "long non-coding RNA (DZIB_LNC001414)". Lineage: Eukaryota; Viridiplantae; Streptophyta; Magnoliopsida; Malvales; Malvaceae. The record is from RNAcentral.